AGUGAACGCUGGCGGUAGGCCUAACACAUGCAAGUCGAACGGCAGCACAGGAGAGCUUGCUCUCUGGGUGUCGAGUGGCGGACGGGUGUGGAAUACAUCUGAAUCUGCCCAGUCGUGGGGGAUAACUUAGGGAAACUUACGCUAAUACCGCAUACGACCUUCGGGUGAAAGAGCGGGAUCGCAAGACCUCUCUCGAGUGGAUUAUCCGUUGUCGCAUUAGCUAGUUGGCGGGGUAAUGGCUCACCAAGGCGACGAUCCGUAGCUGGUCUGAGAGGAUGAUCAGCCACACUGGAACUGAGACACGGUCCAGACUCCUACGGGAGGCAGCAGUAGGGAAUAUUGGACAAUGGGCGCAAGCCUGAUCCAGCCAUACCGCGUGAGUGAAGAAGGCCUUCGGGUUGUAAAGCCCUUUUGUUGGGAAAGAAAACUUUCAGGCUAAUACCCUGGGAGGAUGACGGUACCCAAAGAAUAAGCACCGGCUAACUUCGUG
Molecule: ribosomal RNA, 490 nt
Filed under: uncultured bacterium
Lineage: Bacteria
Description: partial 16S ribosomal RNA
Rfam family: Bacterial small subunit ribosomal RNA
Source: RNAcentral